ACAUUUUUGCCAUCGUAACGAAGGUUUUUGCAAAGACAAUUUGUUUUGGUUUAUUUCAUGGUUAAAUCCUUUGCGAUGGUUUAUUUAGUUAUUUUAAUCUAUAAAAAGUGUUUACAAUUUUCAUGGGACGAUAAACAUCAGAUCGGCUGCGAUUUUAUUCCAAUAAAAGUACGAAAUAACCAAACAUGGCCACGUUAAUAUUGCUGCGUAAUGGGUCUGGUGCUGUUACAAUUUUAUGAUUUAAGAGAUAGUCAAAUGUAGUUAUCAAAUUAGUUGGCCGUGAAUUCGAGACAAAAUUUUAAAUUCAAUGGCGUUCUCGUGUAAGAGAUCGCAUUGCUAGAAUCAGCAAAGGAGCUGGUGUAGAACGCUAGUCCCAAACCAAUGAGCUUUGUGCUUGAGGGUGGAAGCAACUUUUUGAAGAGCAAAUACUACGGUGAGCACAUUCGGAUGUUGCAUAACCUAUUGUAAAUUGCGCUUAGAAUCCCGGUACUGCUGGUCAGGUUUAUCAGGCUGUUGGGCCAAAGCGUUACCAGUUGAGCGAAUUAAUUGACUGGUUUCAUCGUGUUAUGCGCAAAGAUGAAAAAUGGUGGGGAUACCGUCAUUGAGACAUGUGUUGUGAUCCUACCUUCUUAUUGAAAGCCAAGUUCACGAAUGUAUUACCGAUGUCGUUCCCUCCAACAUACCGUGGUUGAAGAAUUUUGGUGUACAAUCUGGGGGAACCAGCUCCACCAAAACCGAUAGAACAUCGGGAUGAACUACGCAAAUAAUAAACAACACUUAUCAAAAGAAAGUUGGCAGCGUUGGUGACUAAGCAGCAAUUUGAAAAAGAAACAUUUGCAUCUACGUGAAUUACAAUUCGUCUUUACAUCUAGUGAAUUAUGGUCGAUUAUGAAUGGUGUGGAAGUUGAUAUUUAAACUUUAAAAAACAAAUAAAUGUAAUUUGGCUAAUAUUGAUAUUUAAACUUUAAAAAACAAAUAAAUGUAAUUUGGCUAAUAAUGAGCCGCUAUUAAAAGUUAA
Bactrocera dorsalis (oriental fruit fly) is the source of this 1018-nucleotide long non-coding RNA. RefSeq lists it as uncharacterized. The record is from RefSeq and is a predicted model, not a curated record. The transcript is spliced from 3 exons. Lineage: Eukaryota; Metazoa; Arthropoda; Insecta; Diptera; Tephritidae.